RNAcentral lists this non-coding RNA (21 nucleotides) under Caenorhabditis elegans. The record is from RNAcentral. Lineage: Eukaryota; Metazoa; Nematoda; Chromadorea; Rhabditida; Rhabditidae.
GAGUUUUUCUCGUCGAUCGAA